Molecule: long non-coding RNA, 472 nt
Organism: Hemiscyllium ocellatum (epaulette shark)
Lineage: Eukaryota; Metazoa; Chordata; Chondrichthyes; Orectolobiformes; Hemiscylliidae
Exons: 5
Source: RefSeq, a predicted model, not a curated record
GAGAGGCGGGACUUGAUUAUACCACGUGAUCAUCCUCGCGGACAGCGCGGCUGUGCGGGCGGAGAGCUGUCGAUCCCAGUGAUUAAUGCCAAAGCCCUGUUGCCUGGGGAGAGGGUGAUGUUUGACUUUCUUGUACAGCUGCAGUUUGUGUGGUGAGGGUGCUCCCACAAUGUGGUUGGGAUGAGGCUGUCACUGGCUCGGCCAGCAUUUAUUGCUGCGUUUACCCAGAGGGCAGUUAAGAAUCAACCACGUUGCUAUAGGUCUGGAGUCCCAUGCAGACCAGACCAGAUCCCAGUGAUCAGUGCCAAAGCCCCAUUGCCUGUGGAGAGGGUGAUGUUUGAUUUCCCUGUCCAGCUGCAGUUCAUGUGGUGAAGGUGCUCCCACAAUGUGGUUGGGUGGACAUUCAGAUGGUAAUCUCAGUAAUUGUAACGCCAAACUGUGACAAAAUUACUCAAUUCAUCAGGAGCUGGAU